Molecule: RNA transcript, 9154 nt
Organism: Scylla paramamosain (green mud crab)
Lineage: Eukaryota; Metazoa; Arthropoda; Malacostraca; Decapoda; Portunidae
Gene: gek
Gene name: serine/threonine-protein kinase Genghis Khan-like
Exons: 39
Source: RefSeq, a predicted model, not a curated record
GCUGCGCCAUCUAUAGCUGGAGUUCGGGGUGCCGCCAGCCAGUACAGGGUUGGCCGGCGGGGUCAGUGUACGGUGUUUCUGUGUCUCCGCUCCGAACUAUUGAAUAUACCUGAAGAACUGCGCGUUACUCCGAGGGCAAUGGGCAGAGGUGGUACAGCACAACCCGGUGCCACCCAGGGAGGAGCAACAGAUACCCUGCGUACCACCACCACCACCACCACCACCACCACCGCCACCACCGCCGCUAGUAGCCUCAGUGCCCUAGCUGCGGGGGACUUGUGACGAGGGGGGCGCCCCAGUGUGUGUUAUCAAUCCCCGCCAUCACCACCACCACCACCACCACUGUUACUACUCCUCAUGUGCCUUCAUCCACGCCCGACGCUUUGCUCACCAUCCGUCACCACCACCUCCACCGUCACCACCACCGCCGCCGCCGCCGCCGCCGUCACAGUUAUCACCACCAGUCCCGCGCGACGCUGAAUCAAUAGCAGUGUGUUUGUUUCUUCCUCUUCCUGAUCUUGAUUGUGAAAAAGAGAGUUUCAUCAUCAGUUUCCGUGCGAGUCGGUCUGCCAGUCAGUCUGCCAGUCAGUCAGCAGUCGUUGCUUACCGUUUGUCUGUCCGUCAGUUAGCUGGUUGGUGUGGUGGAGGCGGUGAUCAGUCUACGGGUGUUGCGCCGCGGGUUGGUUGGUGUGGUAGUGUGGUGCUGUGAUCGGUGAUCGUGGCGGCGCUGCGUCACGUGGCUGCUACGGAUCGGCUGGUCCUGGGAGAUGCCCGGCAGGUGACGCGCCCUUCCGCCCGAGCCGCCCACCGCCCUGCCCGCCGCCCGCCCACCCACCCCGGCCUCACAUGGCGCCUUAAGUGAAACCGGUUCUUCCGUGCAUGCGUGCGUGAGUGUGUUGACAGUAUUAGCUAAGGACACCACUCCCUCCCGAUGAUGGGUGACGGGCAGGAGGAUGCGGGGGGAGGAGGAGGAGGAGGGGGAGGAGAAACUAGUAGCGGAGGAGGAGGAGGAGGAGGAGGAGGAGGAGGAGGAGGAGGAGGUGGUGGAGGAGGAAGUGGUAGUGGUGGUGAAGAAAAGGGAACAGUGGACCUCGUGCCCACCACCUCAGCCGCGCCGAGCACCAGCAGCAUCGGCGGAGGCAGCGCCGCGGAGCACCGCCUGCAGGAGUUGGAGCGGCUGUUCCUGGCCGGCCCUGGCGAGGCGGCCGGCCAGUCCUUCUCUGUGGAGACGCUGCUCGACGUGCUGCUCGUGCUCUUCGACGAGUGCACCAACUCCUCCCUCCGCCGAGAGAAGACCGUCUCGGACUUCAUCGAAUUCGUGAAGCCAGUGGUGCAGCGGGUGAAGGCGCUGAGACUGACGCGAGAUGACUUUGAGGUGAUCAAGGUGAUAGGACGCGGCGCCUUCGGGGAGGUGUGCGUGGUGAAGCUGAAAGGCACCGACCGCGUUUACGCCAUGAAGAUACUCAACAAGUGGGAGAUGCUGAAAAGGGCAGAGACGGCCUGUUUCCACGAGGAGAGGGAUGUGCUGGUGUUUGGUGACCGCCGCUGGAUCACCAAUCUCCACUAUGCCUUCCAGGAUGACAACAACUUGUACCUGGUCAUGGAUUACUAUUGUGGAGGGGACUUGCUUACACUACUCAGCAAGUUUGAAGACCGACUACCUGAGGACAUGGCACGCUUCUACAUUGCAGAGAUGAUUCUUGCCAUUGACUCCAUACACCUGCUGAAGUACGUCCACCGAGACAUCAAGCCGGACAAUGUGCUACUCGAUGCCAACGGACACAUUCGCCUCGCUGACUUUGGCUCCUGCCUGAAACUCCAAGAUGAUGGCACGGUGCAGAGCAAUGUGGCUGUCGGCACCCCGGACUACAUUUCCCCAGAGAUCCUGAGAGCAAUGGGGGAGGCACAGGCUAUGGAGGACGGGCAGGGCCGGUAUGGACGGGAGUGUGACUGGUGGUCGCUGGGUGUGUGUAUGUACGAGAUGCUCUUCGGGGAAACGCCCUUCUACGCUGAAUCACUUGUGGAGACGUACGGGAAAAUUAUGAAUCAUAAGAAUUGUUUUGACUUUCCAAAUGAUCUAGGUUAUGAUGUCUCAGAAGAAGCAAAGGACCUCAUGAGACAACUAAUAUGUUCCUCAGAGUACAGAUUAGGGAAGAACGGCAUUAAGGAUUUCCAGAGUCACCCAUGGUUUAAUGGUGUGGACUGGGAGACAUUAAGGGACAGUAAAGCACCAUACAUUCCUGAGGUCUCUAGCCCCACUGACACCAGCAACUUUGAUGUGGAUGACUCUGAGACCAGAAGUCAGGAUGCCUGCCCACCUCCUGGUAACGCUGCCUUCACUGGUCUCCACUUGCCUUUUGUGGGAUUUUCAUUUACUCAGGGGAGCCAAAUAAGUGACAAAGGUUGCCUGUUGACCUUGCAUGCCACAUCGUCAAUCACAGUGACUGCCACCAUCGAUUCAUUAUCCUAUGAGAGGCGGAUCAAAGUGCUUGAGUUGGAGAACAGAGAAUUGCUGCAGAAAGCUGACAGGAUAGAUGGCAGCACCAGCCCUCCCACUAGCGAAGAGUCACAGAAGAUGGUAGACCAGUUACAGAUACUUAGCAAGCAGAAUCAAGAGCUCACACAUGAGGUGACAUCUCUGAAGAGGCGACUCUCUGAAGGUGACAGUGAAAUUGACACUAAAUUGAAGGACAUCGAUAGGCAGUUGAAAGCCUCAGUUCAAGAGAAGGAGAACAUGGGAAGAGAAAUGGCAGAUUUACAAGAGAGACUAAAUUUACAGACAAAAGAAUUGCAAGAUGCCCUGUCCCAAAGAAAGCUAGCCAUGUCUGAAUAUAGUGAAGUGUCUGACAAAUUAACUGAAUUGAGAAAUCAGAAGCAAAAGUUGUCUCGGCAAGUAAGAGAUAAGGAAGAAGAGCUUGAGACAGCAAUGCAGAAAAUUGACACCUUGAGGCAAGAUUUACGGAGAGCAGAGAAGCUCCGCCGAGAGCUGGAGAGUCGGUCUGAUGAGGCAGAAGCAGAGGCCACCAAGGAGCGCAAGCUAAGGGAGCGCUCUGAGGAGUACACUCGCAGCAUAGAGGGAGAGCUGGAGAAGAUGCAGCAGAGGCCACAUGGCAGGAGCCCCUCUCUUAACUCAAUUGAAGCUUCACAGGAGGUCUCAAGGUUGAAGUCUGAUCUUGAGCGGGUGUGUGUGGAUCAGGAGGAGCGGGCACAGCAGCAGGCCUUGCGGCAUGCCCAUGAAAUGGCUGUCAUGAAAGACCAGCUGUCUGAAGCAGAGUCUGCCAAGAACUCCUUGCAAAAUGAGGUGGGCAUCCUGACCAGGAAGGUGGAGCAGUUGAAGAGUGAGCUGGAGAAGCGAAUGGAGGAACAAGAAGACUCUGUGAUGGAUGUGAAGCGUCGCCAUGAAAGAGAGAAGACCAUGAUGCUGGAUGAAAACAAGAAGCUGAUCGGUGAUGUGGAGAGGCUGACAGAAAGUUUGAAUAGGAUGCAGAGUGAGCGACGGUCACUGGAAGAAGAGUAUGAUGACCUGAGAAAUAAGAAGGAGUCCAUUGCUCAGUGGGAGGCUCAAAUCACAGAAAUCAUCCAGUGGGUGAGUGAUGAGAAGGAUGCCCGCGGCUACCUCCAGGCUCUUGCCACGCGCAUGACUGAGGAACUGGAGUCCCUCAAGGUCUCUGGUGUGGUGGGCAGUGGCUCCUCCGUCCUCACACCCUCAGAGAGGAAUUGGCGUAACAGACGCUCUCAGAAACUAGACAAGAUGGAAUUAUUGAACCUUCAGUCAUCUCUUAACUCAGAGAUACAGGCUAAACAAGCCAUAUCUGAAGAGCUCAGCAAAGUCCGUGCUGAACUGGUUGCUGCACAGAAGGACAUGCGUGAGUCCAGACAGCGUUACGAGGGAGUGUCACGUGAGAACAUGCGGAAGGAUAAGCAGAUUCGGGAGUUGCAGACACGCCUAGAAGCUGGUGAGGGCUCUGCCACGCAGGAACGCAAGACUCGAAAGUUUGGCUCUAUUGGAAGAAAUAUGUUUGGCUUUGUUAUGGAGCGGCCAGCCUCACAGAUGUCCAUCCUAGAGCAGUUUUUGAAAGACAUGCCCCUGGGACGUGGUGGCUCCUUGGAAUCCGAGGAAGGGGACGUGGAGGACAACAGGGCUCCUUCAGUCCCCUCCCUAUCCUCAUCAAGGUCAUUUGUCAGCCAGCAGGAGCAGCUGGGUUCUCCAAACAUGGAGGGUCGCCCCCUGCCACCCCUGCCUCAGUCUGCCUCCAGCGUGCCACCUGGUGUGCUACCCACCAUGGCCCACCAGCAGCACGGCUCAGCUGCCCUUGGUCUUUCAGGGGGCAGCAGCAGCAGUGGUGGGGGGCCGUCACCUCACAUGAUGAAACCAAAAGCCCACCAGUUCCUUGUGCGUUCCUUCAGCAACCCCAUCAAAUGCUCUCACUGUACUUCCCUAAUGGUAGGCCUCACACGUCAAGGGGUGGUGUGCGAGGUGUGUGGUUUUGCUUGCCACAUCACCUGCAAGGAGAAGGUGCCACAGAUCUGUCCAGUGCCUCCUGAUCAGACCAGACGACCUCUUGGUAUUGACCUGACCCGAGGCGUUGGCACAGCUUAUGAAGGCUAUGUUAAGGUGCCCAAGCCUGGUGGAGUCAAAAAAGGGUGGUCCAGGCAGUUUGUUGUGGUGUGCGACUUUAAGCUCUUCCUUUAUGACAUAUCCCCUGAGAGAAAUGCCCAGGCCAGUGUGUGGGUGAGCACCAUACUGGACAUGAGGGACGAACAUUUUGAGGUGUCCACAGUACGGGAUUCUGAUGUGAUUCAUGCCAACAAGAAGGACAUCCCAUGCAUAUUCAGGAUGACCACAUCUUCCAUGGUUGGGGUGCGGCACCACACACUGAUGCUUGCAGAGACAGAGAAUGAAAAGACCAAAUGGGUUGUGGCACUGAAUGAGUUGCACAGGAUAUUCAGGCGGAGCAAACUACCCGAUAGACAGGUCUUCAGUGCCUAUGAGGUGGUUGAUGGCAGUGUAACACUGUUAAAGAAUGCUGUAUGUGGUACUGUCAUUGACCCUGAUCGGCUGUUGCUGGGAGCAGAGGAAGGUCUCUUCUGUGUUGAUGUUGACAACUGCGAAAUUGCCAGGAUAGGAGAUGGCAAGAAAAUCGUGAGUCUUGAGUACAUCGCAGAGGAGCAGUUGAUCAUGGUGAUAGCAGGAAGACAACGGCAGGUCAAGCUGAUUCCUGUGAGGGCCCUUGGUGGGGAUGAUGUGGAGUGGAUAAAGGUUUCAGAAACAAAGGGUGCCAUCGCUUUUACCACUGGAAAGUUUAGAUCUCCCACCAGUCUUAACUAUACCUACUGCUUGUGUGUAGCUGUUAAGAGACAAAUCAUUAUUUAUGAAAUUAAUCGAGCGAAGGGUCGACACAGACUCUUCCGCUCGAUCCUGCUGCCUCAGCCACCUCAGAGCCUGGACAUCCUGGGUGAGGGGCGGCUGGCUGUGGGCUUCCAGUCUGCCUUCACCAUAUACUCCAUACUGGGGGAUCAGCAUCCUCUGUCCUUAGUUCACCCUGAGAGUCAGUCACUGAGCUUCCUCUCCAUGAAUCAGUGCGAGGCUCUCUGCUGCAUUGAGGUGACUCGAGGGGAAUACCUCCUGGUGUUCAACCUCCUGGCAGUGUAUGUAGAUGCUUCAGGUCGCAAAAGCCGCGAGAAAGAACUCAUGUACCCAGCCUUACCUACAGCAGUUGCGGUGAGUGAUGGCAUGCUGUUGGUGUACAGUGACAUUCACAUUGACGUGUUUGAGGUGCUCUCUGGGGACUGGGCACAGACCAUCAACCUGAAGCGGACCAAACCCUUGAUGCGCACUGGGGUCCUCAACAUGGUGAUGAUCAGUGACCUGCCCCAUGUGGCCUACCUCAGGAACCUGCACAAAGAGGAAAUUAUAAGAACAAAUGUGGAUUCCAAAGGUCGACCCAAGUCCCGAAGAAAGUUCUCAAUGCGAGAAAACAGCAAAGCCACUCGCGCGCGGUUGAGGCAGUUGGAGAGUCGCAUGCUCCACCUGGUGCCGGCGCCCCUCUCGCGCCAGCUGACCACCACCAGCCACUCAUGAACUGACCGCCGCAGCAAACUCAUCUCAGGACCCACCAACUUUAACCACAUCACCCACAUGGGUCCUGGUGACAGCAUAGAGAUCCAGCGCCUAGUUGACUUGCCAUCUCGCCGGAGCUCAACAGCAGAACAACGCACACAACAAACACAGUCUAUCCACAGGGUGCGCAGUAUGCUCCAGACCAGCGGGAAGCUAGCGCCCCCUCGGCUACCCCAGGGCCCUGAGCCUCCGCGCCGUUCUUUUAGCCACCAACCUCUUCCCCAACCUCUUUAUUCCAAUGUUCACAAUGGUAGUGGGCCUCCGCCUCCAGUGACCACCUCUAUACGGAGGCCAGGCAUACCGCCAUUGCCCCCCACAUCUGCCGCCCCCCAGCACCUUCCCCCCCAGCGCUCACCUGAGGAACCACGCCACCAAAUCAUCCAUCAGCUGCAGGAACAGGAGUGUGGUGACACCUCCCCGCGUCACUCCAUUGCUUCCAACACCAGCAGCAACCUGUCUUCACCUCCCUCCCCGGGCCGGCCGCCAGACCACCACUCAUCCUCCUAUGAUUCCUAGGGUUGUGUCUGGCCUGGAGAGUAGCUCUGAGCUGAUUCCUCACAGGCUGGGCCUCAUGGAUCACCACAAUCCUGUGUUGAAAGUUGGUGCAUUAAUUUAUUACACAUUGGACUUUGUACCACUCAGUUAAAACGUAGAAUUGAUAUGAAAAAAAUAUACAUAUUUAAGCUUAUCAGGUUAGUUGAAUGUGGAAAUAUAACAGAUAAAAUGAUUGUCACAAUUUUACUCUCAACCAUUUGUAGGGCAAAAAAAAAUAAAUAAAUAAAAAAGGGUCACAAAUCAAAAACACAGCAGGACUUGUGGGUGUCCAGACCCUGGUGUGAGGUGACACUCACUGCACCUUGUGAUAGAGGCAAUACUUAAUCAAACACAUUUAUGAAAUGUAAGAAGUUAUAGCCUUUGUACAUCUUGAAGCAUUACCUCUCCUCUCUAACCGGCUGCCAGGUACUGUAACUGAAAUGCAUUAGUACUUACAAAUAUAUAAUUUAUGGAGAAUAGCAAAGUAUUCUCACGGGGAACAAAUACCUGGUUUUGGCACUUGUAAGUAAUGUUGAGGAAAGUCUGUAUUUUAUUUAUGAAGUGAAGUUUCUAUAGGUAAUGGGCAGCUAUGAAAAGGUUCAGGCUACCUGUUGGUGCUUUGAUUGUCUUACGUCAUAUAUUGGAUGUAUGAAUUAUAAUUAUGUAUAACUCACCUUGUAUAUGUAAGAUCAUCUUUGUUGAGAUUCUACAAGAAUUGGAUCAUCCCUGUUGUUUCAGGUUCCCUCAUAUACUGGUUGUCUUCUUCAAAAGCUUCUGCUAGUCAUUCUUUACUCUUAAGUGGAAACUCAAGCCCAAAGAAAUUGACUGGAUGAAGGUGAAAACUUGGGGUGGUGGCAUAUGGGGGGCCGAAUGUGAUUUGUGAUUGAUGUUUUGGGAGGGAAGUGGGGUAGGACACCAUAGCAAUACUGAAUAAAGUAGCUGUAAUAAAUGAUUACUGUGUUUGGCGAGGUGAGUCACUCAGGGCACUGGCUCACUUAUGUGGCUGACUGUAAUAGAAUAUAUAGGUAAUAUCUGCCUGUAAAUUAGUGCGGCUGUCAGAAGGUAAGCAUUGUUUGGAAAUUGUGACUGUUGGAGUUGUGGCAUUAUGUGGGUAUUGAAGCAAUGUUCUCCCAGGGUGUGUGAUGUGAAUGGCAAUAUGUCCUAUGAUUCUCUUAACACAAACUUAACUAAUCAUCUUUUAAUUUGGAAAUUGAGACAAAAUUUUAUUAUGUUGUGGUAUCAAGCUGCAAUAUUGUGAUUACAAAAGUUAGCUUUAAAAUUUAGGUUGGUUGAAGGUCCAUUGAUGUUUGUUAUGCUCAGAUGUUUUAGUAAACAGGAAAUGGCAUUUUAUGGGUGAAUGAAUGUAAAUUUUAACCAACUUCCAGGUGGGUGCACGUGAGAAGGCUGUAGUCUUGUGGUCAUGCUGUCAGAAUAGAAUGUUUUGAAUCUGUGGUAGGAAAUUAAAGACAGUCAUUAACUGCUCCAGGAGGGACACUAUAGUUUGAGAAUCAUUCCUUCAGUGUGAUCUGUACCAGAGUCAUACUUCAGAAUUGUAAAUGUGAUGGUAGUAAAAGUGGCUGGCCAUAUUUAAACAGUCAAGUUUCAUGUUUACAGUGGUGAAGUCAAGCCUUAUCAACUACCUAUGCUGCAGAUCCACUGAGUUUGUCUUAACAAUAUUUCAGUAACUAGUUUUGUGUUAGGCAACUUGCAUUAGUGGUCACAGUUUGAUGGUAAAUAAGUUUUCAAUUCAAGCUGUUGACCGAGUAUUUGGUGUGGUUGUGUUGAGACUCCUGCUAGGCAUCACUGCUGAAGCAUCAUGUUCAAAGGGAUUCUCCUUGCCUCUUCAGACUGGUCGGUCAGUCCUUCAAGUUUUGCAGUCAUCUCCAAAUUGCCGUGGCAUCUUGCUGAGGCUUUGAACACCAUGAUUCUGAAGCAUUGAACUGAUUUGUUGAUAAUCUUUCCUUCCCUUGCCCUCCUCACUUCCAAGUCUAAUGGUCAUGGAAAUGUUUCUUGACUCUUGUUUGUAACCGAGCAGUUAGAUAACAAUAGCAACUGAGUGACUGUUCAGGAACAAAGUAGCUGUAUGCAAAUUAUUCUUAGUUGCUUGUGUAUAAAAGCAAAUAAUUUUUUUAGUGUUCUUGCCAAUCCAGUGUGCAAGUCAUACCUCCGUUAUCUGUGACUUGCCAGUCUUGUCAAGGGUAUUUAAAAUAAUGUCCAGUAAUUUCAUAUAGAGACAGAACUUAUCUUAGUACUUUUUUUUAUGAAAAGUAUGAGUACUACUAUGCUGUCAAGUUAUUUUUUCUUGUAAGUACAAUCUGUAAAUAUGCUCCCUUAGCGAUUAUGUUAAAAGAAAUCUAUGAAUACUGACGUGUACAUUCAUACUUCAGCUCGUAUUGUAGUCAAUAAUUUAUGAUUGGAAUGGCUGCAUCACCGGCCCUGUGUAUACUAGCUUUUGUAAAAUAGACAUUUCUAGAAAUAUGGCAAUACUAUAAUGGGUGA